This 497-nucleotide ribosomal RNA is filed under the name uncultured bacterium. RNAcentral's name for it is "partial 16S ribosomal RNA". It matches the Rfam family "Bacterial small subunit ribosomal RNA", at positions 28 to 507 of the family's 1533-position model. The record is from RNAcentral.
GAUGAACGCUGGCGGCGUGCCUAAUACAUGCAAGUCGAGCGAACAGAUGAGGAGCUUGCUCCUCUGACGUUAGCGGCGGACGGGUGAGUAACACGUGGAUAACCUACCUAUAAGACUGGGAUAACUUCGGGAAACCGGAGCUAAUACCGGAUAAUAUAUUGAACCGCAUGGUUCAAUAGUGAAAGACGGUUUUGCUGUCACUUAUAGAUGGAUCCGCGCCGCAUUAGCUAGUUGGUAAGGUAACGGCUUACCAAGGCAACGAUGCGUAGCCGACCUGAGAGGGUGAUCGGCCUCACUGGAACUGAGACACGGUCCAGACUCCUACGGGAGGCAGCAGUAGGGAACCUUCCGCAAUGGGCGAAAGCCUGACGGAGCAACGCCGCGUGAGUGAUGAAGGUCUUCGGAUCGUAAAACUCUGUUAUUAGGGAAGAACAAAUGUGUAAGUAACUAUGCACGUCUUGACGGUACCUAAUCAGAAAGCCACGGCUAACUACGUG